AACAACUUGGCGCAGUAGGAAGCGCACGGGGCCCAUAACCCCGAAGUCCCAGGAUCGAAAACCUGGCGUUGGAC
This is a non-coding RNA of Gautieria morchelliformis, 74 nucleotides long. NCBI's taxonomy places the organism in Eukaryota, Fungi, Basidiomycota, Agaricomycetes, Gomphales, Gomphaceae. The record is from the annotation of a GenBank genome assembly.